Molecule: ribosomal RNA, 846 nt
Filed under: Pseudomonas sp. LDe
Lineage: Bacteria; Pseudomonadati; Pseudomonadota; Gammaproteobacteria; Pseudomonadales; Pseudomonadaceae
Description: bacterial SSU rRNA
Rfam family: Bacterial small subunit ribosomal RNA
Source: RNAcentral
GGUGCGAGCUAACUGCAGUCGAGCGGAUGACGGGAGCUUGCUCCUUGAUUAGCGGCGGACGGGUGAGUAAUGCCUAGGAAUCUGCCUGGUAGUGGGGGACAACGUUAAGAAAGGAACGCUAAUACCGCAUACGUCCUACGGGAGAAAGCAGGGGACCUUCGGGCCUUGCGCUAUCAGAUGAGCCUAGGUCGGAUUAGCUAGUUGGUGGGGUAAUGGCUCACCAAGGCGACGAUCCGUAACUGGUCUGAGAGGAUGAUCAGUCACACUGGAACUGAGACACGGUCCAGACUCCUACGGGAGGCAGCAGUGGGGAAUAUUGGACAAUGGGCGAAAGCCUGAUCCAGCCAUGCCGCGUGUGUGAAGAAGGUCUUCGGAUUGUAAAGCACUUUAAGUUGGGAGGAAGGGCAGUAAGCUAAUACCUUGCUGUUUUGACGUUACCGACAGAAUAAGCACCGGCUAACUCUGUGCCAGCAGCCGCGGUAAUACAGAGGGUGCAAGCGUUAAUCGGAAUUACUGGGCGUAAAGCGCGCGUAGGUGGUUUGUUAAGUUGGAUGUGAAAGCCCCGGGCUCAACCUGGGAACUGCAUCCAAAACUGGCAAGCUAGAGUACGGUAGAGGGUGGUGGAAUUUCCUGUGUAGCGGUGAAAUGCGUAGAUAUAGGAAGGAACACCAGUGGCGAAGGCGACCACCUGGACUGAUACUGACACUGAGGUGCGAAAGCGUGGGGAGCAAACAGGAUUAGAUACCCUGGUAGUCCACGCCGUAAACGAUGUCAACUAGCCGUUGGGAUCCUUGAGAUUUUAGUGGCGCAGCUAACGCAUUAAGUUGACCGCCUGGGGGAGUACCG